Molecule: ribosomal RNA, 465 nt
Filed under: uncultured bacterium
Lineage: Bacteria
Description: partial 16S ribosomal RNA
Rfam family: Bacterial small subunit ribosomal RNA
Source: RNAcentral
GAUGAACGCUGGCGGCGUGCUUAACACAUGCAAGUCGAACGGAAAGGCUCCUGCUUGCAGGGGUACUCGAGUGGCGAACGGGUGAGUAACACGUGGGUGAUCUGCCCUGCACUUCGGGAUAAGCCUGGGAAACUGGGUCUAAUACCGGAUAGGACCACAUUUUGGAUGGUGUGGUGGAAAGUUUUUCGGUGUGGGAUGAGCUCGCGGCCUAUCAGCUUGUUGGUGGGGUAAUGGCCUACCAAGGCGUCGACGGGUAGCCGGCCUGAGAGGGUGUACGGCCACAUUGGGACUGGGAGACGGCCCAGACUCCUACGGGAGGCAGCAGUGGGGAAUAUUGCACAAUGGGCGCAAGCCUGAUGCAGCGACGCCGCGUGGGGGAUGACGGCCUUCGGGUUGUAAACUCCUUUCGCUAGGGACGAAGCGCAAGUGACGGUACCUGGAGAAGAAGCACCGGCUAACUACGUG